GACGAACGCUGGCGGCGUGCUUAACACAUGCAAGUCGAACGGAAAGGCCCUGCUUUUGUGGGGUGCUCGAGUGGCGAACGGGUGAGUAACACGUGAGUAACCUGCCCUUGACUUUGGGAUAACUUCAGGAAACUGGGGCUAAUACCGGAUAGGAGCUCCUGCUGCAUGGUGGGGGUUGGAAAGUUUCGGCGGUUGGGGAUGGACUCGCGGCUUAUCAGCUUGUUGGUGGGGUAGUGGCUUACCAAGGCUUUGACGGGUAGCCGGCCUGAGAGGGUGACCGGGCACCAUGGGACUGAGAGACGGCCCAGAAUGCUACCGGGGGCAAGAGGGGGGAAUAUUGCACAAUGGGCGGAAGCCUGAUGCAGCAACGCCGCGUGCGGGAUGACGGCCUUCGGGUUGUAAACCGCUUUCGCCUGUGACGAAGCGUGAGUGACGGUAAUGGGUAAAGAAGCACCGGCUAACUACGUG
RNAcentral lists this ribosomal RNA (468 nucleotides) under uncultured bacterium. Its description in RNAcentral is "partial 16S ribosomal RNA". It matches the Rfam family "Bacterial small subunit ribosomal RNA", at positions 28 to 507 of the family's 1533-position model. The record is from RNAcentral.